RNAcentral lists this non-coding RNA (186 nucleotides) under Planococcus maritimus. RNAcentral describes it as "6S RNA". It matches the Rfam family "6S / SsrS RNA". Rfam says of the family: E. coli 6S RNA was the first non coding RNA to be sequenced, but its function was unknown until recently. Lineage: Bacteria; Bacillati; Bacillota; Bacilli; Caryophanales; Caryophanaceae. The record is from RNAcentral. RNAcentral also lists the same sequence under 1 other name.
AGAAUCCUGAUGUGUUCGUUUUAAGCCAAUCAGUUUUGACCGAACACUUCAUCGUCGGGAGACCUACUUUUACCAUGGAUGGCAUGCCUUCAUCGGACGUCAAAAGUGGUAAAGGGGUCACCCACCUGCUUAUAGUGCGGGUUCAAAACGAUGUGCAUUAACAAGGACGGCACGAUCGGGAUUCUU